GGUCUGGCGGCGUAGUGGUUAACGCGUUUUGCUUUACGUACGGUUGGUACUACAAAGUUUAGCAGGAGUCCCUCGUUCGAUUCGAGGUCAGGCCA
Molecule: non-coding RNA, 95 nt
Organism: Mycena latifolia
Lineage: Eukaryota; Fungi; Basidiomycota; Agaricomycetes; Agaricales; Mycenaceae
Source: the annotation of a GenBank genome assembly